This 771-nucleotide ribosomal RNA is filed under the name uncultured bacterium. RNAcentral describes it as "bacterial SSU rRNA". It matches the Rfam family "Bacterial small subunit ribosomal RNA", at positions 8 to 796 of the family's 1533-position model. The record is from RNAcentral.
AGAGUUUGAUCAUGGCUCAGGACGAACGCUGGCGGCGUGCUUAACACAUGCAAGUCGAGCGAUGAAACUUCUUCGGAAGUGGAUUAGCGGCGGACGGGUGAGUAACACGUGGGCAACCUGCCCUAUAGAGGGGAAUAGCCUUCCGAAAGGAAGAUUAAUACCCCAUAAGAUUGUAGUUUCACAUGGAACAGCAAUUAAAGGAGCAAUCCGCUAUAGGAUGGGCCCGCGGCGCAUUAGCUAGUUGGUGAGGUAACGGCUCACCAAGGCGACGAUGCGUAGCCGACCUGAGAGGGUGAUCGGCCACAUUGGGACUGAGACACGGCCCAGGCUCCUACGGGAGGCAGCAGUGGGGAAUAUUGCACAAUGGGGGAAACCCUGAUGCAGCAACGCCGCGUGAGUGAUGAAGGCCUUCGGGUUGUAAAGCUCUGUCUUUGGGGACGAUAAUGACGGUACCCAAGGAGGAAGCCACGGCUAACUACGUGCCAGCAGCCGCGGUAAUACGUAGGUGGCAAGCGUUGUCCGGAUUUACUGGGCGUAAAGGGAGCGUAGGCGGAUUUUUAAGUGGGAUGUGAAAUACUCGGGCUCAACCUGAGUGCUGCAUUCCAAACUGGAAGUCUAGAGUACAGGAGGGGAAAGUGGAAUUCCUAGUGUAGCGGUGAAAUGCGUAGAUAUUAGGAAGAACACCGGUGGCGAAGGCGACUUUCUGGACUGUAACUGACGCUGAGGCUCGAAAGCGUGGGGAGCGAACAGGAUUAGAUACCCUAGUAGUCC